This 254-nucleotide ribosomal RNA is filed under the name uncultured bacterium. RNAcentral describes it as "partial 16S ribosomal RNA". It matches the Rfam family "Bacterial small subunit ribosomal RNA", at positions 524 to 777 of the family's 1533-position model. The record is from RNAcentral.
UACGAAGGGGGCUAGCGUUGCUCGGAAUUACUGGGCGUAAAGCGCACGUAGGCGGCUUUCUAAGUCGGGGGUGAAAUCCUGGAGCUCAACUCCAGAACUGCCUUCGAUACUGGAGAGCUUGAGUCCGGGAGAGGUGAGUGGAACUGCGAGUGUAGAGGUGAAAUUCGUAGAUAUUCGCAAGAACACCAGUGGCGAAGGCGGCUCACUGGCCCGGUACUGACGCUGAGGUGCGAAAGCGUGGGGAGCAACAGGGA